Homo sapiens (human) is the source of this 1542-nucleotide long non-coding RNA. RefSeq lists it as uncharacterized. The transcript is spliced from 4 exons. NCBI's taxonomy places the organism in Eukaryota, Metazoa, Chordata, Mammalia, Primates, Hominidae. The record is from RefSeq and is a predicted model, not a curated record.
AGACGUAGGCCCGGGGGUUCCCGGCCUGGCCGGGUAGCAGCGCGGGGGCGGCCCUGGGGCGGGGAGACAGGGGGCGGCUCCACUCCGGCGCUCUGCGGAGGACAGCAGCGAUCGCCAAGGCUCAGUGAGUCCCCGCACUAGCGCGGCACCUGGCACUUGGCGGGGCCGAACCAACGAAUGAGCGAAUUUGCCGAGAGUCGCCCCGUCUGAAUCCAUUGACUCUUUCCUUGCCUCGGUCCUACCCUCAUUCCUCGACUCACUUCCUCCUGCCCUUCCUCACUAUCUCCCUCCCCGCUCAUAUCCUCCCUCUCCUUUCCUCAUUCCCUUCUUCACUCUCUUCUCUCCUCUCUUACUCCCCCCCUCUCAUUCCCUCCCUCCUUCACUCUCUCAUUCCUUCCCUUCCUAUCUUACCCACCAUUCCCUUCCUCCCUCACUCAUUCACUCCCUCCCUGUCUCCCCCUCUCAUCCCCUCCCUCUCUCAUUCCCUUUCCCUCCCUCCUUAACUCUCGUUCUCUCCUCCCUCUCUCAUUCCUUCCCUCCCUGUCUCAUUUCCCCCCUUCUUUCCCUCCCUCCCUCUCCUCUUCUCCCAUUGCCUCCCUCCCUCUUUGAUUCCCUUCUUUCCUCCUCUCCUCCACUUGUUCCCUUCGUCACGCGCUCAUUCCCUCCCUCCCGCGGCCUGCUCCUUCCCCGCUCCCUCCGCGGUCGGUGCCGCUGACCGUAGCGCGCCCCCUGCGGGAUAUCGGGGAGAAUCGCUUAACACCGCCAGAGUGAACAGAGGGGUGUCAACCAGGAACCUUGUGAUGCGUGAGGAAAAAAUAUUACCUUUUCCCCCUACUCUUUCUGGCACCCAACAAACAAGUGGGGUGGCAAAGACACCCCACUUGGGACAACUGGCAAAAGGCUGGAGUGCAGUGGCAUGGUGGCAUGAUCUUGGCUCACUGCAACUGCUGCAUCCUGGGCUCAACUGAUUCUUCUGCCUCAGCCUCCUGAGUAGCUGGGACUACAGGCACACACUACCACGUCCAGCUCUAUGAUCAGAAGAUGGCAUAAGUGGGGCUGGGCACAGUGGCUCAGUGCCCAGCUGGGAUUACGCCUGUAAUACCAGCACUUUGGGAGGCCAAGGUGAGUGGAUCACGAGGUCAGGAGUUGAAGACCAGCCUGGCCAACAUGGAGAAACCCCGUCUCUACUAAAAAUACAAAAAAUUAGCCGGGCGCGGUGGCAGGUGCCUGUAAUCCCAGCUACUCGGGAGGCUGAGGCAGGAGAAUAGCUUGAACUCAGAGGGCGGAGGUUGCAGUGAGCCAAGGUUGCGCCACUGCACUCCAGCCUGGGCGACAGAGUGAGACUCCGUCUCUAAAAAACAAAAAAGAAGAUGGCGUAAUCAGAAGUUGAUAUUCUGUCUAUUGGAUCCUGCUUCUCCCCUGGGGUCUUCUUGGUUCCCUGAAGCCCCUCUUCCGGAGUCCCUGCCCUCUAUCGGCUCUGCCUCCUGCUUCUUUUCUGUAUUGCCAUGAUUUUUGCUAAGGAUAAAGGACAACUUCAUUGGC